UCAUUCUCUCCUCAUUAUCAACCAAGUGGGACGCAAACCGAGACAACUCGGCAAACUUAGCUUCGUACUGUGCCACGGUCAUAUUGUUUUUCUCAAGCUUGAUGAACUCUACCUCCUUCAUGUGACGAAUACUUUCAGGAAAGUACUUGUCGUUGAACAGUUCUUGGAACUUCUCCCAAGACAUCUUCAGUGCGGCAGGUUGAGUACGCUUUAC
Molecule: long non-coding RNA, 214 nt
Filed under: Panax ginseng (ginseng)
Lineage: Eukaryota; Viridiplantae; Streptophyta; Magnoliopsida; Apiales; Araliaceae
Description: long non-coding RNA (PGIN_LNC014253)
Source: RNAcentral